RNAcentral lists this ribosomal RNA (1842 nucleotides) under Mogibacterium diversum. Its description in RNAcentral is "partial 23S ribosomal RNA". It matches the Rfam family "Bacterial large subunit ribosomal RNA", at positions 1 to 1848 of the family's 2925-position model. The record is from RNAcentral. Lineage: Bacteria; Bacillati; Bacillota; Clostridia; Peptostreptococcales; Anaerovoracaceae.
AGUUAAGUAAGUAAGGGCGUACGGCGGAUGCCUUGGCCAUAUCAGCCGAAGAAGGACGCGAUAAGCUGCGAUAAGCUGCGGUGAGGUGCAAGUAACCAGUGACCCGCAGAUUUCCGAAUGGGGAAACCCGGCAGUAGUAGUACUGUCACCUCUCGAAUGAGAGGAGGGCACCCGGUGAACUGAAACAUCUAAGUAGCCGGAGGAAGAGGAAUCAAAAGAGAUGCCCCCAGUAGCGGCGAGCGAAGCGGGCAAAGCCCAAACCGGAGCGGGAAACCGCACCGGGGUUGAGGACUACCAACAAGUACCUAGAUGAAGUCGAAUCAGGUGGGAACCUGAGCCAGAGACGGUGAGAGCCCGGUAGACGUAAAGAAGGGUAUGGGGUAGUAUCCAGAGUACCACGGGGCACGAGGAACCUUGUGGGAAGCAGGGGGGACCACCCUCCAAGGCGAAAUACUGAUAUGGACCGAUAGCGCAUAGUACCGUGAGGGAAAGGUGAAAAGAACCCCGGGAGGGGAGUGAAAGAGAACCUGAAACCGUAUGUCUACAAGCAGUCGAAGUCUGUAUAUAUAUCAGGACGACGGCGUGCCUAUUGAAGAAUGAACCGACGAGUUACUGUUGCUAGCGAGGUUAAGUGGAAAACAUGGAGCCGCAGCGAAAGCGAGUCUGAAUAGGGCGAGUGAGUCGCAUACCGUAGACGCGAAGCCAGGUGAGCUAUCCAUGAGCAGGCUGAAGCGGGGGUAAGACCCCGUGGAGGGCCGAACCCACUUAGGUUGAAAACUGAGGGGAUGACUUGUGGAUAGGAGUGAAAGGCCUAUCAAACCUGGAGAUAUCUCGUUCUCUCCGAAAUAGCUUUAGGGCUAGCCUCGGAUGUUUACCAAUGGGGGUAGAGCACUGAAUAGUUGCGGGGGCUUCACCGCCUACCAAGAUUAAUCAAACUCCGAAUACCAUUGGUCUAGAAUCCGGGAGUCAGAAUAUGUGGGCUAAGCUGUGUAUUCGAAAGGGAAACAGCCCAGACCGCCCGCUAAGGUCCCAAAAUCAAUGCUAAGUGGCAAAGGAUGUGCGUUUGCUCAGACAACCAGGAUGUUGGCUUAGAAGCAGCCAUUCAUUUAAAGAGUGCGUAAUAGCUCACUGGUCGAGUGGACAUGCGCCGACAAUAUACGGGGCUAAGCAUUGUACCGAAGCGGCGGAUCAGUACUUUGUACUGGUGGUAGGAGAGCUUUCUGUACGGGUUGAAGCAGUUGGAUAACCAACUGUGGACUGUCCAGAAGUGAGAAUGCUGGCAUGAGUAACGAGAGACAUGUAAAAAACAUGUCCGCCGUAAACCCAAGGUUUCCUGGGCAAGGCUAAUCCUCCCAGGGUUAGGCGGGAGCUAAGGCAAGGCCGGAAGGCGUAGUCGAUGCACAACAGGUAGAAAUUCCUGUCCCUCCAAAAGAGCGUUAUCACCAAUGGGGUGACGGAGCAGGGUAGCUAGGCGGGGUUCUGGACGUCCCCGUGAUGGCACGUAGGCUGAGAAGUAGUGAAAUGCGCUUCUCGUGAUGGCUGAGGUGUCGGACGAAGCAAUUGAGUGAAGCUAGUAAGCCCAUACUUCCAAGAAAAACCUCUAGGGAGCUCUGAGGAGCCCGUACCGCAAACCGACACAGGUGGGUGGGUAGAGCAUACCAAGGCGAUCGGGAGAACUAUGGUUAAGGAACUCGGCAAAAUUGCCCCGUAACUUCGGGAGAAGGGGUGCCGGUUUCGGUGAAGGGAUUUACUCCCCGAGCUAAGAUCGGUCACAGUAAAUAGGUCCAAGCGACUGUUUAUCAAAAACACAGGACUCUGCUGAAGUCGUAAGACGACGUAUAG